Molecule: ribosomal RNA, 391 nt
Filed under: uncultured fungus
Lineage: Eukaryota; Fungi
Description: partial small subunit ribosomal RNA
Rfam family: Eukaryotic small subunit ribosomal RNA
Source: RNAcentral
GCUUGUCUCAAAGAUUAAGCCAUGCAUGUUCAAGUAUAGCAAGUGUACAGUGAAACUGCGAAUGGCUCAUUAAAUCAGUUAUAAUUUAUUUGAUAGUGAAAUUGUACAUGGAUAACCGUGGCAAUUCUAGGGCUAAUACAUGCGUCAAUGGUCGGUCGACCAGUAUUUAUUAGAUCCAACCAGCCCGGUUCGCCGGAGUCCCUGGUGAGUCAUAAUAACUGAGCGAAUCGCAUGGCCUUGUGCCGGCGAUGGUUCAUUCAAGUUUCUGCCCUAUCAGCUUUCGAUGGUAGGGUAUUGGCCUACCAUGGCGUUAACGGGUAACGGAGAAUUAGGGUUCGAUUCCGGAGAGGGAGCCUGAGAAACGGCUACCACAUCCAAGGAAGGCAGCAGG